UACGAAGGGGGCUAGCGUUGCUCGGAAUCACUGGGCGUAAAGGGCGCGUAGGCGGCCGAUUAAGUCGGGGGUGAAAGCCUGUGGCUCAACCACAGAAUUGCCUUCGAUACUGGUUGGCUUGAGACCGGAAGAGGACAGCGGAACUGCGAGUGUAGAGGUGAAAUUCGUAGAUAUUCGCAAGAACACCAGUGGCGAAGGCGGCUGUCUGGUCCGGUUCUGACGCUGAGGCGCGAAAGCGUGGGGAG
RNAcentral lists this ribosomal RNA (245 nucleotides) under uncultured Methylobacterium sp. Its description in RNAcentral is "partial 16S ribosomal RNA". It matches the Rfam family "Bacterial small subunit ribosomal RNA", at positions 524 to 768 of the family's 1533-position model. Lineage: Bacteria; Pseudomonadati; Pseudomonadota; Alphaproteobacteria; Hyphomicrobiales; Methylobacteriaceae. The record is from RNAcentral.